UACGAAGGGGGCUAGCGUUGCUCGGAAUCACUGGGCGUAAAGCGCACGUAGGCGGAUAGUUUAGUCAGAGGUGAAAGCCCAGGGCUCAACCUUGGAAUUGCCUUUGAUACUGGCUAUCUUGAGUACGGAAGAGGUAUGUGGAACUCCGAGUGUAGAGGUGAAAUGCGUAGAUAUCUGGAGGAACACCGGUGGCGAAGGCGGCAUCCUGGACCAUGACUGACGCUGAGGAGCGAAAGCCAGGGGAGCAAACGGG
Molecule: ribosomal RNA, 253 nt
Filed under: uncultured bacterium
Lineage: Bacteria
Description: partial 16S ribosomal RNA
Rfam family: Bacterial small subunit ribosomal RNA
Source: RNAcentral